This 448-nucleotide unclassified non-coding RNA is filed under the name Hevea brasiliensis (rubber tree). The record is from RNAcentral. Lineage: Eukaryota; Viridiplantae; Streptophyta; Magnoliopsida; Malpighiales; Euphorbiaceae.
CCAAGCCCCCAUAUCCUGUGAAUCUUGAUUAUGGGUAAUUAAGUGUGGGGUACAUCCUCUAUUUCAAGACGAUUGUCUUUGCAGAGAUGAAAAGAGAAGCAAAAAUCAAGACGAGGAAGAGGAACCUCCUCUUAAAAGAUUGAAACAAGGCCAAAAACUUUCUAAAAAUUCCUCUCAUACAGAGCAUAAAUCAUGAGGAGAAAAAGGAAGAGGAACCUUCUCUCCAUCUAAACCAAAUUCAGAAUGACAACAGGACUACCACCACAGGAGAUUCUUAUAUGCACACGUAUUGAUGGGUUUUAUUGCUAGACUGAUAUAUUAUGUGAAAAAGUAUGUUGCCUUACUGUAUUAUUUUACAAUUGAAUUUUAUUAUUGAUUUUCUCUUAUUGCUUGAUGAGCAAUAAAUUCUAAUGUCUUUGGUGCAUUUAUCUCCUUCCAUUUUCAUCUA